AUUGAACGCUGGCGGCAUGCUUUACACAUGCAAGUCGAACGGCAGCACGGGGGCAACCCUGGUGGCGAGUGGCGAACGGGUGAGUAAUGCAUCGGAACGUACCCAGUCGUGGGGGAUAACGCAGCGAAAGUUGUGCUAAUACCGCAUACGACCUGAGGGUGAAAGCGGGGGACCGUAAGGCCUCGCGCGAUUGGAGCGGCCGAUGUCUGAUUAGCUAGUUGGUGGGGUAAAGGCCCACCAAGGCGACGAUCAGUAACGGGUCUGAGAGGAUGAUCCGCCACACUGGGACUGAGACACGGCCCAGACUCCUACGGGAGGCAGCAGUGGGGAAUUUUGGACAAUGGGGGCAACCCUGAUCCAGCCAUGCCGCGUGCGGGAAGAAGGCCUCGGUGUAACGCUUCGUACGGAAGAAUACGCAUGGACGUAAUAACUCUGUGUGGA
RNAcentral lists this ribosomal RNA (441 nucleotides) under uncultured bacterium. Its description in RNAcentral is "bacterial SSU rRNA". It matches the Rfam family "Bacterial small subunit ribosomal RNA", at positions 29 to 478 of the family's 1533-position model. The record is from RNAcentral.